Molecule: non-coding RNA, 199 nt
Organism: Oryza nivara
Lineage: Eukaryota; Viridiplantae; Streptophyta; Magnoliopsida; Poales; Poaceae
Source: Rfam
ACUCCGUAAACCCUAGAUUUCCGUGUCCAACUUUAACUGUCCGUCUUAUAUGAAAUUUUUUUAUAAUUUGUAUUUUCAUUUUUGUUAGAUGAUAAAACAUGAUUAAUAUUUUAUAGGUGUCUUGUCUUUUUUUUUAUAAUUUUUUCAAAUAAGAUGGACGGUCAAACAUUAGACAUAGAAACCAGAGUUUGUCCUUUUU